GAUGAAGAACGUAGCGAAAUGCGAUAAGUAAUGUGAAUUGCAGAAUUCAGUGAAUCAUCGAAUCUUUGAACGCACAUUGCGCCCGCCAGUAUUCUGGCGGGCAUGCCUGUUCGAGCGUCAUUUCAACCCUCAAGCCCCCGGGCUUGGUGUUGGGGAUCGGCGUGCCCUCGCGGCGCGCCGUCCCCUAAAUCUAGUGGCGGUCUCGCUGUAGCUUCCUCUGCGUAGUAGCAACACUCGCACUGGAUCGCAGCCCGGCCACGCCGUUAAACCCCCCACUUCUGAAAGUUUGACCUCGGAUCAGGUAGGAAUACCCGCUGAACUUAAGCAUAUCAAUAAGCGGAGGA
RNAcentral lists this unclassified non-coding RNA (344 nucleotides) under soil metagenome. RNAcentral's name for it is "partial contains 5.8S ribosomal RNA, internal transcribed spacer 2, and large subunit ribosomal RNA". The stretch from base 1 to 120 matches the Rfam family "5.8S ribosomal RNA", at positions 35 to 154 of the family's 154-position model. The record is from RNAcentral.